GACGGAAGGUGCAAGCGUUGCUCGGAAUCACUGGGCGUAAAGGGUGCGUAGGCGGCCGUGCAAGUCUGGCGUGAAAGCCCCGGGCUCAGCCCGGGAAGUGCGCUCGAAACUGCGCGGCUCGAGUGCCGGAGGGGAGAGUGGAAUUCCUGGUGUAGCGGUGAAAUGCGUAGAUAUCAGGAGGAACACCGAUGGCGAAGGCAGGUCACUGGGCCGCAACUGACGCUGAGGAGCGAAAGCAUGGGGAGCGAACAGG
This 253-nucleotide ribosomal RNA is filed under the name uncultured bacterium. Its description in RNAcentral is "partial 16S ribosomal RNA". It matches the Rfam family "Bacterial small subunit ribosomal RNA", at positions 524 to 776 of the family's 1533-position model. The record is from RNAcentral.